ACCAAUACGCCUCUCACCUAAAGCAUGCCUCAGGCAUGCCUUUCACAACUAUGGGCCUUACAAUAGUUUAAAAAAAAUAAAUAUAAAUUUGUGAAAAAAGAUAUGAAAUCCAAAAACAUUCAGAACGAAGCUUUGUACGUGCAUGUAUGAGAUAGAGACAAUCAUGGAUAACAUUGCCAUGUCAAGAGAAAACAGAAGGAAAUGAAGAAAUAUAACUAAGUAAAUCAACAGGAAACUUACCUCAGCACAAAUUCUUCCAACA
This 262-nucleotide unclassified non-coding RNA is filed under the name Hevea brasiliensis (rubber tree). Lineage: Eukaryota; Viridiplantae; Streptophyta; Magnoliopsida; Malpighiales; Euphorbiaceae. The record is from RNAcentral.